GGACUACACGGGUAUCUAAUCCUGUUUGCUACCCACGCUUUCAUGCCUCAGCGUCAGUUAUGGUCCAGAGAAUCGCCUUCGCCACUGGUGUUCUUCCUAAUCUCUACGCAUUUCACCGCUACACUAGGAAUUCCAUUCUCCUCUCCCACACUCUAGAUAUCCAGUUUGAAAUGCAGCACCCAAGUUAAGCUCGGGUAUUUCACAUCUCACUUAAAUAUCCGCCUACGCAUCCUUUACGCCCAGUAAAUCCGGACAACGCUCGCCACCUACGUAUUACCGCGGCUGCUGGCAC
This 292-nucleotide ribosomal RNA is filed under the name uncultured bacterium. RNAcentral's name for it is "partial 16S ribosomal RNA". The record is from RNAcentral.